Molecule: ribosomal RNA, 139 nt
Filed under: Aria edulis
Lineage: Eukaryota; Viridiplantae; Streptophyta; Magnoliopsida; Rosales; Rosaceae
Description: partial 5.8S ribosomal RNA
Rfam family: 5.8S ribosomal RNA
About the family: 5.8S ribosomal RNA (5.8S rRNA) is a component of the large subunit of the eukaryotic ribosome.
Source: RNAcentral
UUGGCUUUCGCAUCGAUGAAGAACAUAGCUAAAUGCGAUACUUGGUGUGAAUUGCAGAAUCUCGUGAACCAUCGAGUCUUUGAACGCAAGUUGCGCCCAAAGCCAUUAGGUCGAGGGCACGCCUGCCUAGGCGUCACAC